Molecule: non-coding RNA, 121 nt
Organism: Rhizophagus irregularis
Lineage: Eukaryota; Fungi; Glomeromycota; Glomeromycetes; Glomerales; Glomeraceae
Source: Rfam
AGUCAUGAAGGCGCUCGCAGAUCGUAAUAAACUUUCACCUUUUUUUCACUAAAGGUUACCAUGUGAAGUACCUCAAUGCAGUGGAAUAAUGAAUUGUUGGAAAUUUUCCUUUAAGAAAAUU